GACCACAUCACGUUGAAAAACCAGUUCUCGAACGAUCACCGAAUUUAAGCAACGUCGAGCCUAGUCAGUACCUAGAUGGGUGACCGCUUGGGGAGACCAGGUGCUGUAAG
Non-coding RNA from Acanthosepion pharaonis, 110 nucleotides. NCBI's taxonomy places the organism in Eukaryota, Metazoa, Mollusca, Cephalopoda, Sepiida, Sepiidae. The record is from the annotation of a GenBank genome assembly.